This 253-nucleotide ribosomal RNA is filed under the name uncultured bacterium. RNAcentral describes it as "partial 16S ribosomal RNA". It matches the Rfam family "Bacterial small subunit ribosomal RNA", at positions 524 to 776 of the family's 1533-position model. The record is from RNAcentral.
UACGUAGGGGGCAAGCGUUGUCCGGAUUUAUUGGGCGUAAAGAGCGUGUAGGCGGCUAGGUAGGUCCGUUGUGAAAACUCGAGGCUCAACCUCGAGCUGUCGAUGGAAACCAUCUGGCUAGAGUCCGGAAGAGGAGAGUGGAAUUCCUGGUGUAGCGGUGAAAUGCGCAGAUAUCAGGAAGAACACCCGUGGCGAAGGCGGCUCUCUGGUACGUGACUGACGCUGAGACGCGAAAGCGUGGGGAGCAAACGGG